AGUUGACAUUCCUUUUUUCUUUGAUAUGUUCUUCUGUCCUACACUUGGAUGUGCUUAUUUUCAUAUUUUGUCAUUUUGCUCACGAGUAUAAUUCAUUGGCUGAUCCCUCCUGAUGACUUGGAUUGAAUUAUGUGAUCCUUCCUUAACGCAUCGGAAGUUCCACCCAGUAGACAAAAUGAUGAAAGUCUUCAAUGACGCUGCCAAUGCUUAAACAGGCUUUUGGGGGAGGAAACCAUAAAAGGAAUCAAAUAGAUUACCAUGCAAAGGUAAUUGAAAACAAGUAUACUUUCUUUAAGCCUGUGCAGUUUUAAAGCAUUUAGCCUAUAAAUCAUUUCUUAAGGUUUAUCUUAAAACUCCCUAGCGUAGGGAUGGAGAGGAGACGGUGGACCGGACAACCAUCAACUCUGGAGAGAGCAACUCAACAGGAAACGAGAAUACACAGGAAGCUUCAGCGGCAGGAAGUGACACAACGCCAGCAGAGUCUUUGCGGUCAUGGCAGGAUUGGUGGAUGGCUGCCUAUGUAAUGUGAUAAUGAUGAUAAAGGUGAUGAGGACAACCCAAGGCAAAAUCACUGGAGAGAAGGAUGUCCUUUCACCCAGCAGAGGAGCCAGCCGACAAUGUUCCAAUCUCAUAAUUUAAAGUUCCCAUAAAAAUAACACCAAAAUCAACCUCGCCUUGUGAGUUUGACGGCUGUGGGAAAGUCUUCUCCUCUCGGCAGUACCUCAGUGUCCAGCAGCAUAGCUGAAGAUGACCGCUCACUAUCUACUUAUUACAGGUAAGGCAAGGUAAAAUACACUAAACUCCAUUCUAUCUUAUCGCACCUUUUGUUCAGCAUCAUAUGAAGUACUCCCUGUAGGGCCCUGUGUUUCUUCAGUCACAUGGUCAAGACGAACUCUGGCUUUUGUCUUGAGAGCAGAGGGACAUCUGUGAGUUCUGUGACCGGGUGUUCCACACCAAUAGUCGCUUUCUCAUCCACUGCCGCAGAGACAAGCCUGUUCAGUGUGAGGUGUGUGGCUCCACCUGCUGUCAGAAGGCCUCACUUCAACUGGCACAUGAAAAGGAACAACAUUGACGACAGCUACCAGUUCCCCUGCAAGGUCUGUGGCUGGUACUUGGAUAAGAGUUACAACCUGACCGCUCACCAUCGCAAGGUCUGUGGCCGGUACUUGGAGAAGAGUUACAACCGCAAAAGCCACCCUAACCCUGACUAGACCUUGAGCUUAACCAUCACACCCCCGACACUGAAUCACCCCUCACUGCUACCCCAGACCAUGUCCCAGCACAGCAGUGACACCACAGCCAACUGCUUUAUCCUUGGAGUGACAUGAAACAACAAGGCUGUAUUUUUCUCCACAUUUACACCUGUAGAGAUGUGUGGCAUGUCAGGGUCCCUUUAUUGACUGUAAAUAAUGGUCCUUUGGUCUUUUGUGACCCAAUUGGCCAGCAGGUCAGUUUCUCUAUGCAGUCCAUGGACAAUGUUCAUACUGAAGACAAGCAGUCUCUUUCAUUAUUAUAUGUGUUUUGGUAAAGAAUGAUUUUUUUUAUUGAAAUAGGCAAGUCAGUUAAGAACAAAUUCUUAUUUUCAAUGACAGCCUAGGAACAGUGGAUUAACUGCCUUGUUCAGAAGAACAGAUUUUCACCUUGUCAGCUCAGGGAUUUGAUCUUGCAACCUUUUGGUCCAACACUCUAACCACUAGGCUACCUACUGCCCCAGGAAGACCAUCUUUGGGUUUUGCAUUUGUAUAAAUCUUUUACUAUGCAGCUUUAUUGAUGAGGAAUGUAUGUCGAAUGGAGGGGGAAAAUAAAACGUUUGUUACAUUUUGUUAUAUGACCAUGCACCACCUUGAAAGACAAAUGACAUUACACAUUUUAUCUAUGAGGAAAUUUGAAUAAAUUAUUAUACCCCCUUUAA
Oncorhynchus nerka (sockeye salmon) is the source of this 1912-nucleotide long non-coding RNA. RefSeq lists it as uncharacterized. Lineage: Eukaryota; Metazoa; Chordata; Actinopteri; Salmoniformes; Salmonidae. The record is from RefSeq and is a predicted model, not a curated record. The transcript is spliced from 5 exons.